GGCUUCUAAAGGUCUUGCAAAUGGUACGAGAGAAGCAUUACCCACCUCUCAGGUGCACGCACACAAAAGGCAACAGACAACUGGGAGAAUGGGAACAUCUUGGACAAAUUGGGGAUGCAACCUAAGCCAUCAGCACAAUAGCUGUACAAGGGAGGUAAGUCAGAGAAGCUACAGAAAUAGGACAUUCUGCCUUCAUCUGAAUCUGGGUUCUGGAGAUUUCCAGAGACAGAGGUUUUCCAUCUGCAAAUAUUGUUUAACCACUCAUCUACCAUGACCUCUAACAAUUUAUUUAACUAGCACAUUAAAUAAUGAUGGAGAACAGCAACCUCACUUUUAUUUACUUUAUUGGCAGGAUGUUUAAUGAUGACUGCAAAGUAUGAAAUGCCCCCUGAGAAUCUAGGCAUACAUUUGGGUUUUCUGCAGAUUAUGUUGCUGGUUUGCUAAACAUUAGUUUACUUUGCCAGACAGUGGUCC
This is a non-coding RNA of Pelobates cultripes (western spadefoot toad), 474 nucleotides long. NCBI's taxonomy places the organism in Eukaryota, Metazoa, Chordata, Amphibia, Anura, Pelobatidae. The record is from the annotation of a GenBank genome assembly.